RNAcentral lists this microRNA precursor (107 nucleotides) under Malus domestica (apple). RNAcentral describes it as "miR11014 stem-loop (mdm-MIR11014)". Lineage: Eukaryota; Viridiplantae; Streptophyta; Magnoliopsida; Rosales; Rosaceae. The record is from miRBase by way of RNAcentral.
UAAUCUUUCCGGCAGAUUUCUAUGUGCUUGAAAUGGACGAGUCGGACCAUUCCCCUGCAUUGCCUAUCCUCAUUGGACGACCAUUCAUGAAAACUGCCUGUACUAAG